UUCAGACCGAAUGGGAGUCGUGU
Molecule: non-coding RNA, 23 nt
Filed under: Drosophila melanogaster (fruit fly)
Lineage: Eukaryota; Metazoa; Arthropoda; Insecta; Diptera; Drosophilidae
Source: RNAcentral